RNAcentral lists this ribosomal RNA (1305 nucleotides) under Lactiplantibacillus plantarum. RNAcentral's name for it is "bacterial SSU rRNA". It matches the Rfam family "Bacterial small subunit ribosomal RNA", at positions 98 to 1390 of the family's 1533-position model. The record is from RNAcentral. Lineage: Bacteria; Bacillati; Bacillota; Bacilli; Lactobacillales; Lactobacillaceae.
GCGAACUGGUGAGUAACACGUGGGAAACCUGCCCAGAAGCGGGGGAUAACACCUGGAAACAGAUGCUAAUACCGCAUAACAACUUGGACCGCAUGGUCCGAGCUUGAAAGAUGGCUUCGGCUAUCACUUUUGGAUGGUCCCGCGGCGUAUUAGCUAGAUGGUGGGGUAACGGCUCACCAUGGCAAUGAUACGUAGCCGACCUGAGAGGGUAAUCGGCCACAUUGGGACUGAGACACGGCCCAAACUCCUACGGGAGGCAGCAGUAGGGAAUCUUCCACAAUGGACGAAAGUCUGAUGGAGCAACGCCGCGUGAGUGAAGAAGGGUUUCGGCUCGUAAAACUCUGUUGUUAAAGAAGAACAUAUCUGAGAGUAACUGUUCAGGUAUUGACGGUAUUUAACCAGAAAGCCACGGCUAACUACGUGCCAGCAGCCGCGGUAAUACGUAGGUGGCAAGCGUUGUCCGGAUUUAUUGGGCGUAAAGCGAGCGCAGGCGGUUUUUUAAGUCUGAUGUGAAAGCCUUCGGCUCAACCGAAGAAGUGCAUCGGAAACUGGGAAACUUGAGUGCAGAAGAGGACAGUGGAACUCCAUGUGUAGCGGUGAAAUGCGUAGAUAUAUGGAAGAACACCAGUGGCGAAGGCGGCUGUCUGGUCUGUAACUGACGCUGAGGCUCGAAAGUAUGGGUAGCAAACAGGAUUAGAUACCCUGGUAGUCCAUACCGUAAACGAUGAAUGCUAAGUGUUGGAGGGUUUCCGCCCUUCAGUGCUGCAGCUAACGCAUUAAGCAUUCCGCCUGGGGAGUACGGCCGCAAGGCUGAAACUCAAAGGAAUUGACGGGGGCCCGCACAAGCGGUGGAGCAUGUGGUUUAAUUCGAAGCUACGCGAAGAACCUUACCAGGUCUUGACAUACUAUGCAAAUCUAAGAGAUUAGACGUUCCCUUCGGGGACAUGGAUACAGGUGGUGCAUGGUUGUCGUCAGCUCGUGUCGUGAGAUGUUGGGUUAAGUCCCGCAACGAGCGCAACCCUUAUUAUCAGUUGCCAGCAUUAAGUUGGGCACUCUGGUGAGACUGCCGGUGACAAACCGGAGGAAGGUGGGGAUGACGUCAAAUCAUCAUGCCCCUUAUGACCUGGGCUACACACGUGCUACAAUGGAUGGUACAACGAGUUGCGAACUCGCGAGAGUAAGCUAAUCUCUUAAAGCCAUUCUCAGUUCGGAUUGUAGGCUGCAACUCGCCUACAUGAAGUCGGAAUCGCUAGUAAUCGCGGAUCAGCAUGCCGCGGUGAAUACGUUCCCGGGCCUUGUACACAC